UGAGAACUUGGAAACGGUCGAGAUCCCCACCCCUAAACCAUAUAUAUUCAUGUAUGGGACAAUAUAACAAAUCAUAUGAAAUAUAGGUGGAGUUCGUGGGGCCACUCUUCCCCUUCCGGUUUGAGAAUUUGAAAACGGUUGAGAUCCCCAAUCUUAAACCAUAUAUAUUCAUGUAUGGGACAAUAUUACAAAUCAAAGGAAUAAUAAGGGGGUCCCUAUGGUCACUGUAAACCCUCCUGUUUGAGAACUUGGAAACAUUCGAGAUCCUCAACCCUAAACCAUAUUUAUUCAUGUAUGGGACAAUAUAACUAAUCAAAUGAAAUAUAGGGG
Molecule: long non-coding RNA, 330 nt
Filed under: Mytilus galloprovincialis (Mediterranean mussel)
Lineage: Eukaryota; Metazoa; Mollusca; Bivalvia; Mytilida; Mytilidae
Source: RNAcentral